CGGACGGGUGAGUAACGCGUGAGAAUCUGGCUUCAGGUCUGGGACAACCACUGGAAACGGUGGCUAAUACCGGAUGUGCCGAGAGGUGAAAGGUUAACUGCCUGAAGAUGAGCUCGCGUCUGAUUAGCUAGUUGGAAGUGUAAUGGACUCCCAAGGCGACGAUCAGUAGCUGGUCUGAGAGGACGAUCAGCCACACUGGGACUGAGACACGGCCCAGACUCCUGCGGGAGGCAGCAGUGGGGAAUUUUCCGCAAUGGGCGAAAGCCUGACGGAGCAAUACCGCGUGAGGGAGGAAGGCUCUUGGGUCGUAAACCUCUUUUCUCAGGGAAGAACAAAAUGACGGUACCUGAGGAAUAAGCAUCGGCUAACUCCGUGCCAGCAGCCGCGGUAAUACGGAGGAUGCAAGCGUUAUCCGGAAUGAUUGGGCGUAAAGCGUCCGCAGGUGGCUAUGUAAGUCUGCUGUUAAAGAGUCUAGCUCAACUAGAUAAGAGCAGUGGAAACUACAAGGCUAGAGUACGUUCGGGGCAGAGGGAAUUCCUGGUGUAGCGGUGAAAUGCGUAGAGAUCAGGAAGAACACCGGUGGCGAAGGCGCUCUGCUAGGCCGUAACUGACACUGAGGGACGAAAGCUAGGGGAGCGAAUGGGAUUAGAUACCCCAGUAGUC
This 663-nucleotide ribosomal RNA is filed under the name uncultured cyanobacterium. Its description in RNAcentral is "bacterial SSU rRNA". It matches the Rfam family "Bacterial small subunit ribosomal RNA", at positions 99 to 795 of the family's 1533-position model. Lineage: Bacteria; Bacillati; Cyanobacteriota. The record is from RNAcentral.